GAUGAACGCUAGCGGCAGGCUUAAUACAUGCAAGUCAAGGGGGUAGCAAUACAACCGGCGCACGGGUGAGUAACGCGUACACAACAUACCAUAUACUGGGGUAUAGCUUCGGGAAACUGAAGGUAAUCCCCCAUAAUAUUGCGGGAAGGCAUCUUUCUGCAAUUAAAGUUUCGACGGUAUAUGAUUGGUGUGCGUUGUAUUAGCUAGUUGGUAGGGUAACGGCCUACCAAGGCGACGAUCAAUAGCUGGCGUGAGAGCGCGACCAGCCACACUGGAACUGAGACACGGUCCAGACUCCUACGGGAGGCAGCAGUAGGGAAUAUUGGACAAUGGGCGAAAGCCUGAUCCAGCCAUGCCGCGUGAUAGAUGAAGG
RNAcentral lists this ribosomal RNA (373 nucleotides) under uncultured bacterium. RNAcentral describes it as "bacterial SSU rRNA". It matches the Rfam family "Bacterial small subunit ribosomal RNA", at positions 28 to 414 of the family's 1533-position model. The record is from RNAcentral.